Molecule: ribosomal RNA, 448 nt
Filed under: uncultured bacterium
Lineage: Bacteria
Description: bacterial SSU rRNA
Rfam family: Bacterial small subunit ribosomal RNA
Source: RNAcentral
ACUCCUACGGGAGGCAGCAGUGGGGAUAUUGGACAAUGGGGCGAACCCUGAUCCAGCCAUGCCGCGUGUGUGAAGAAGGCCUUUGGUUGUAAAGCACUUUAAGCAGGGAGGAGAGGCUAAUGGUUAAUACCCAUUAGAUUAGACGUUACCUGCAGAAUAAGCACCGGCUAACUCUGUGCCAGCAGCCGCGGUAAUACAGAGGGUGCGAGCGUUAAUCGGAAUUACUGGGCGUAAAGCGAGUGUAGGUGGCUCAUUAAGUCACAUGUGAAAUCCCCGGGGCUUAACCUGGGGAACUGCAUGUGAUACUGGUGGUGCUAGAAUAUGUGAGAGGGAAGUAGAAUUCCAGGUGUAGCGGUGAAAUGCGUAGAGAUCUGGAGGAAUACCGAUGGCGAAGGCAGCUUCCUGGCAUAAUAUUGACACUGAGAUUCGAAAGCGUGGGUAGCAAACA